RNAcentral lists this ribosomal RNA (244 nucleotides) under Enterobacter cloacae. RNAcentral describes it as "partial 23S ribosomal RNA". It matches the Rfam family "Bacterial large subunit ribosomal RNA", at positions 235 to 517 of the family's 2925-position model. The record is from RNAcentral. Lineage: Bacteria; Pseudomonadati; Pseudomonadota; Gammaproteobacteria; Enterobacterales; Enterobacteriaceae.
UUCCCCCAGUAGCGGCGAGCGAACGGGGAGCAGCCCAGAGUCUGAAUCAGCUUGUGUGUUAGUGGAAGCGUCUGGAAAGUCGCACGGUACAGGGUGAAAGUCCCGUACACGAAAAUGCACAGGUUGUGAACUCGAAGAGUAGGGCGGGACACGUGGUAUCCUGUCUGAAUAUGGGGGGACCAUCCUCCAAGGCUAAAUACUCCUGACUGACCGAUAGUGAACCAGUACCGUGAGGGAAAGGCGA